Molecule: long non-coding RNA, 125 nt
Organism: Aricia agestis (brown argus)
Lineage: Eukaryota; Metazoa; Arthropoda; Insecta; Lepidoptera; Lycaenidae
Exons: 3
Source: RefSeq, a predicted model, not a curated record
AGACCCUAAAGGUAUGCGCGCACGGGCAACUUAGUUGGUCGGCGAUUUAUUUGUCUCUUGAUGAAGUCUAGGAGCUAGUAUGAAAGUGCGCGCACGUAGCGACGCAACUCUGUGCUACUUUUUUA